GACGAACGCUGGCGGCGUGCUUAACACAUGCAAGUCGAACGGAGAGGCCCUGCUUGCAGGGUACUCGAGUGGCGAACGGGUGAGUAACACGUGGGUGAUCUGCCCUGCACUUCGGGAUAAGCCUGGGAAACUGGGUCUAAUACCGGAUAGGAGCCAUUUUUAGUGUGAUGGUUGGAAAGUUUUUUCGGUGUAGGAUGAGCUCGCGGCCUAUCAGCUUGUUGGUGGGGUAAUGGCCUACCAAGGCGGCGACGGGUAGCCGGCCUGAGAGGGUGGACGGCCACAUUGGGACUGAGAUACGGCCCAGACUCCUACGGGAGGCAGCAGUGGGGAAUAUUGCACAAUGGGCGCAAGCCUGAUGCAGCGACGCCGCGUGGGGGAUGACGGCCUUCGGGUUGUAAACUCCUUUCGCUAGGGACGAAGCUUUUUGUGACGGUACCUGGAUAAGAAGCACCGGCUAACUACGUG
This 465-nucleotide ribosomal RNA is filed under the name uncultured bacterium. RNAcentral describes it as "partial 16S ribosomal RNA". It matches the Rfam family "Bacterial small subunit ribosomal RNA", at positions 28 to 507 of the family's 1533-position model. The record is from RNAcentral.